Molecule: ribosomal RNA, 430 nt
Filed under: uncultured bacterium
Lineage: Bacteria
Description: bacterial SSU rRNA
Rfam family: Bacterial small subunit ribosomal RNA
Source: RNAcentral
UCGAGGAUCUUUUGCAAUGUACGAAAGUGUGACAAAGCGACGCUGCGUGGAGGAUGAAGGCCUUCGGGUUGUAAACUCCUGUCAUUCGGGAAAAAUAACCCCGUAAUGAAUAGUUACGGGGAUUGAUGGUACCGGAAGAGGAAGCCACGGCUAACUCUGUGCCAGCAGCCGCGGUAAUACAGAGGUGGCGAGCGUUGUUCGGAUUUACUGGGCGUAAAGGGCGCGUAGGCGGUUCUGUGUGUCGGACGUGAAAGCCCACUGCUUAACGGUGGAAGUGCAUUCGAAACUACAGAACUUGAGUGCAGGAGGGGAGAGUGGAAUUCUUGGUGUAGCGGUGAAAUGCGUUGAUAUCAAGAGGAACACCGGUGGCGAAGGCGACUCUCUGGAAUGCAACUGACGCUGAGGCGCGAAAGUUAGGGGAGCAAACAGG